Molecule: unclassified non-coding RNA, 251 nt
Filed under: Hevea brasiliensis (rubber tree)
Lineage: Eukaryota; Viridiplantae; Streptophyta; Magnoliopsida; Malpighiales; Euphorbiaceae
Source: RNAcentral
GUUCAAGCCGCCAAACACCCACCCGUCCUCUUCAUCUCCGACGUUAUUGCUGCAGCCACAGGCGUCUGAAGAGCCCCACGAAUACUGCGACCACUGUCAUUUUUCUUCACCGGCGAGCCCAUACUCACGAGCGACGCCGCAACCCAGCAUCACCCGCGCGACGGGCAGCGUGCGGCUACCACCACCAUACUGCAACGAUCGACGCGAUUUUCCGACGGCGUUGUGUGUGACCCUCACCUCUCCACGACCAG